This 492-nucleotide ribosomal RNA is filed under the name uncultured bacterium. RNAcentral describes it as "partial 16S ribosomal RNA". It matches the Rfam family "Bacterial small subunit ribosomal RNA", at positions 29 to 507 of the family's 1533-position model. The record is from RNAcentral.
AGUGAACGCUGGCGGUAGGCCUAACACAUGCAAGUCGAACGGCAGCACAGUAAGAGCUUGCCCUUACGGGUGGCGAGUGGCGGACGGGUGAGGCAUACAUCGCAAUCUACUUUUUCGUGGGGGAUAACGUAGGGAAACUUACGCUACUACCGCAUACGACCUACGGCUGAAAGCAGGGGAUCUUCGGACCUUUCGCGAUUGAAUGAGCCGACGUCGGAUUAGCUAGUUGGCGGGGUAAAGGCCCACCAAGGCGACGAUCCGUAGCCGGCCUGAGAGGAUGAUCAGCCACACUGGAACUGAGACACGGUCCAGACUCCUACGGGAGGCAGCAGUGGGGAAUAUUGGACAAUGGGCGAAAGCCUGAUCCAGCCAUGCCGCGUGAGUGAAGAAGGCCUUCGGAUUGUAAAGCCCUUUUGUUGGGAAAGAAAAGCAGCAGGUUAAUCCACCGCUGUUCUGACGGUACCCAAAGAAUAAGCACCGGCUAACUUCGUG